RNAcentral lists this ribosomal RNA (243 nucleotides) under uncultured bacterium. RNAcentral describes it as "partial 16S ribosomal RNA". It matches the Rfam family "Bacterial small subunit ribosomal RNA", at positions 793 to 1036 of the family's 1533-position model. The record is from RNAcentral.
GUCCACGCCGUAAACGAUGAGAACUAGAUGUUGGGAGGGUUGCCUCUCGGUGUCGUAGCUAACGCGUUAAGUUCUCCGCCUGGGGAGUACGCCGGCAACGGUAAAACUCAAAGGAAUUGACGGGGACCCGCACAAGCGGUGGAGCAUGUGGUUUAAUUCGAUGCAACGCGAAGAACCUUACCUGCCCUUGACAUACUCGGAACUUUCCAGAGAUGGAUUGGUGCCUUCGGGAACCGAGAUACA